RNAcentral lists this ribosomal RNA (352 nucleotides) under uncultured bacterium. Its description in RNAcentral is "bacterial SSU rRNA". It matches the Rfam family "Bacterial small subunit ribosomal RNA", at positions 29 to 361 of the family's 1533-position model. The record is from RNAcentral.
AACGAACGCUGGCGGCGUGCCUAACACAUGCAAGUCGUGCGAGAAAGUUCCUUCGGGAGCGAGUAAAGCGGCGCACGGGUGAGUAACACGUAGGUAACCUGCCCCCCAGUCUGGAACAACUAGAGGAAACUCUAGCUAAUGCCGGAUGAGACCACGAUCCCGUUCGGGGUUGCGGCCAAAGAUGGCCUCUACUUGUAAGCUAUCGCUGAGGGAUGGGGCCUGCGGGCCAUUAGCUUGUUGGUGAGGUAACGGCUCACCAAGGCUGUGAUGGCUAGCUAGGUCGUGAGAGGAUGACCAGCCGACACUGGGACUGAGACACGGCCCAGACUCCUACGGAGGCAGCAGUGGGAAU